AUAAUAUAUUUUCAAGUAACCAACAUGUAGUAGGCACUUACUAUAACCCUGUCUUCCUUUCACCCUUUAGAUGGGAGAGUCUUAAGUGUAUCUCCAUGUUGAAAGAGGGAACCAGUGGAAAUGAAAGAGAACUUAUUAUUGAUGGGACAUGGUCUCAGAGGAAUCUGAAUGGGAUGAUAUCAGUGGAAAGUAAAAGGAUUAGCUUUAGACAAAAAGAGGAACAAUACUUUCUAUGAGAAAAAGAAGGAGAAAGAAAGGCAGGAUUUAAAGAAAGACAAAUUUACAGGCAUGGAGUGGGAAGAUCAGGAAGUUCACACCUGUCGGCCUCUGUUUCCUCUGACAUAACAAAGGAGUUACUGUUCAAGAACCAAGAGUUGAAGAAUACAGGUAGUCAGGGACAUGGGAGACUGGAGAAGUCCCUGAGAGGGAAAGGCUGCUGAGAAGCCUGAGGACACAGCUUGGAUGGGAGGCCAAUUUGUGAGGGUCAAGUUUGCAACCUGGAAGACUGAAAUUAGCAAUGGUCGAGGCUGCAGUAAAAUUAACAUCAAGCAUAUCUAGCAGGCUAUACCAGGUUUAUAGCAACAGGAACUGUGGGUUUGGAGAAAGAAGUCUUCCCAUAGUAGAACAGAAGCCCAGUUAUCAACCACCAUGCUCAAGCAGCUCAAAGCAGAUUUUGGAGCAGAAAUCUUCAAGUACUGGCAAAAAAGAGCGAGAGCUUUUUGGGAGAUGAAGUUUGCUGAUUUUUGCCAGUGUUCUUCAAAUUGAUGAAACACACAGAGAAGACAAGGCUACUCGGAGAACAGAGGAUUCCAGAAAAGUUCUUGAUCUUAAUGCAGAAAAGAAGAUCCCAUUAGUCCAAAGCAGCCAAUUUGCUUCAUGCUAUCAUCUGAUCUACUUUUUGAUUAAAUAUAAUACAAUAAAAUAGAGUUAAGAAUUCCACAAGGCACUGCACACACCAUAUGAACAGGUCUGCCUCGUUCUAGCCCCAGCCUCGGUCUGCUGAAGAUUAUCACAGCAGAAAUCAGGCUCUGUGGCUUUCACAGAUUAUCUCUUUCUGAGGCUGAAACACAUAAAGAGCCACAUGACACCCAAUGAUGUCAUCUCUAAAGCAGGUCACAGUUGCUGCUGUAUGUAGAUAAAGUCCUUCUACUGAAGUAUUUAGCAUAGUGAUUUUCUUGAAAAUCUACUUGCAUUAGAUAGCAUGGUCUUCUAUGAAAAUACUUAACCCCAUCGAUACAGUGCCAUGAAGAGAAAAUCAAUUUGCUGCUCAUACGUGAGAUAAGUCUUCCUUUAAGCUAAGAUCAGCUUCUAGUGCUGCUUUAAAAAAUGAAUAACUGCAAUUAAUUUGUGGUGAAUAUAGUGAAGAAGGGCUUUUCCCUGGAGAAGCUGCUGUGGGAACUAGAGGGUCUCUAAGGAUACAGAAUCUACUUCUAAA
RNAcentral lists this long non-coding RNA (1435 nucleotides) under Rhinopithecus bieti (black snub-nosed monkey). RNAcentral describes it as "lncRNA (ENSRBIG00000045231.1)". Lineage: Eukaryota; Metazoa; Chordata; Mammalia; Primates; Cercopithecidae. The record is from RNAcentral.